Molecule: unclassified non-coding RNA, 388 nt
Filed under: Hevea brasiliensis (rubber tree)
Lineage: Eukaryota; Viridiplantae; Streptophyta; Magnoliopsida; Malpighiales; Euphorbiaceae
Source: RNAcentral
AUCAUACUCAACGAAGACUUCUUCUCUGUCUUCUAUAUCCUGGGAGAUUCUGAUCAGAUAGAGGGCAGGGGAUUUAUUUGUUUAAAAAUCGUUUCAUUCUCUGGAAUCCUCUCUCUUUCACCUUGAGUAACUUUGUCGUCGCUGCAGCAUCUAUUGAUGGCUGUUACUAUUCGUCAAAUGUCUCUAAUUGUUGCCACUCUGGGGGUACUAUCGUUCAUUUUUGGGAUAAUCGCCGAAAAUAAGAAGCCUGCAGCUGGAAUUCCCAUCAUUGGUAAAGGUGGUGUUAUUUGCAAGUAUCCAUCUGAUCCUACAAUUGUAUUGGGAUAUCUCUCUUUUACAUUCCUCGUAGCAUCUGCAGUGGCUGGGUUUCUGUCUCUAUUUUAUCCUU